This 560-nucleotide ribosomal RNA is filed under the name uncultured ciliate. Its description in RNAcentral is "SSU rRNA". It matches the Rfam family "Eukaryotic small subunit ribosomal RNA", at positions 497 to 1068 of the family's 1831-position model. Lineage: Eukaryota; Ciliophora. The record is from RNAcentral.
ACGGCUUCGGGAUUGCAAUGAGCCGAAUUUACACCCCUUAGCGAAGAUCGAUUGGAGGGCAAGUCUGGUGCCAGCAGCCGCGGUAAUUCCAGCUCCAAUAGCGUAUAUUAAAGUUGUUGCAGUUAAAAAGCUCGUAGUUGGAUUUCUGGGAGGGUGCCGCCGUCCGGCGUGUCCGUGUGCAGUGGCGCCCUUCCAUCCUUCUGUUAGCGUCUCUUGGCAUUCAUUUGCUGGUGGCGGGCUCAGAUAUUUUACCUUGAGAAAAUUAGAGUGUUUCAGGCAGGCUAGGCCGGAAUACAUUAGCAUGGAAUAAUGGAAUAGGACUUUUGCCUCUUCUGUUGGUCUGAGGGGUUCGAGUAAUGAUUAAUAGGGAUAGUUGGGGGCAUUAGUACUUAACUGUCAGAGGUGAAAUUCUCGGAUUUGUUAAAGACUAACUUAUGCGAAAGCAUUUGCCAAGGAUGUUUUCAUUAAUCAAGAACGAAAGUUAGGGGAUCAAAGACGAUCAGAUACCGUCCUAGUCUUAACCAUAAACUAUGCCGACUCGGGAUCGGGAGCGUGUGUUA